AAAAGAAAAGAAAAAAUUAAUCGAGUCCUGAAGAUGUAGAAGGCAAAAUCAUAGAUUAUCAUGCUCAAUAACUUGUGCUCCUCUCCACUCUUUACCAGGAUUCACAACUAGAGGAACCAACAUUGAAGCAGGGCCUGUGCAGAUAAAGUAAUCCUUCCCAUACUUUUCUGAAAAUGAACCAGGACUAGAUAAGUAAAUAUCUUCAAAGCCCAUACGUAUUAUCCUGAAGAAGAGCUCACGACCCUGGAAAAAAACAUGAGAAAGAUUUAAGUUUUCUGCUGUUUCGAAAGAUAGCUUUUCUGCACUUUAUUCUCUCCUGAGUUAGAUAAUAUAGAAAAAGCUGCCUGCUGUUUUUGAUGACUUUAUUUCUGCACUAUACUCUCUUGGAACAGAUAAUUAAUGUUGUGACAAAUUUGUUCUUAAAAUGCUAAUAUAUAGAGAUCAAAAGCAUUAAAAUGACAUCUCUUUAUGUUGAAAUUUCAACUACUUUAUACAUCAUUUUUUCAUUUUUUAGGGUUGAAUUAAAUCCAAGACGUUAGUUUUAUUAAGAUGAGCAUUUACAAACUAAAGGAACAUCAACCAUGAGUUAUAAAACAGCAUAAACUAAAUAUUACUUCUAAUACUAGAAAUAGUGAGCAUCAUAACCAUCUACUUAGGAGAGUCUUUAUUUUGAAUGUGAUACCUGAUCGAUUGUUUCAUAUUUUGAAGGUAUUGAAUUAUAAAAUUCCUUUGCCUUUUCUUCUGGUGGAACACUGUAAAGUCU
This 763-nucleotide long non-coding RNA is filed under the name Capsicum annuum. Its description in RNAcentral is "long non-coding RNA (CANN_LNC005004)". Lineage: Eukaryota; Viridiplantae; Streptophyta; Magnoliopsida; Solanales; Solanaceae. The record is from RNAcentral.